RNAcentral lists this ribosomal RNA (387 nucleotides) under uncultured bacterium. RNAcentral's name for it is "bacterial SSU rRNA". It matches the Rfam family "Bacterial small subunit ribosomal RNA", at positions 28 to 417 of the family's 1533-position model. The record is from RNAcentral.
GACGAACGCUGGCGGCGUGCUUAACACAUGCAAGUCGAGCGGUAAGGCCCUUUCGGGGGUACACGAGCGGCGAACGGGUGAGUAACACGUGGGUGACCUGCCCUCAGCUCUGGGAUAAGCCUGGGAAACCGGGUCUAAUACCGGAUAUGACUCCAUGACGCAUGUUGUGGGGUGGAAAGCCUUGUGCGGCUGAGGAUGGGCCCGCGGCCUAUCAGCUUGUUGGUGGGGUGAUGGCCUACCAAGGCGACGACGGGUAGCCGGCCUGAGAGGGCGACCGGCCACACUGGGACUGAGACACGGCCCAGACUCCUACGGGAGGCAGCAGUGGGGAAUCUUGCGCAAUGGGCAAAGCCUGACGCAGCGACGCCGCGUGAGGGAUGACGGCCU